GGAAUAUUGCAAAAUGGGCGAAAGCCCGAUGCAGCAACGCCGCGUGGGCGAUGAAGGCCUUCGGGUCGUAAAGCCCUUUUUGAGGGGAUGAGGAAGGACAGUACCCUCAGAAUAAGCCUCGGCUAACUACGUGCCAGCAGCCGCGGUAAAACGUAGGAGGCGAGCGUUAUCCGGAUUUACUGGGCGUAAAGCGCGUGCAGGCGGAUUGGAGAGUUGGAUGUGAAAGCUCCCGGCUUAACUGGGAGAGGUCGUUCAAUACUUCCAGUCUUGAGUGCAGUAGAGGGAAGUGGAAUUCCGGGUGUAGUGGUGAAAUGCGUAGAUAUCCGGAGGAACACCAGUGGCGAAAGCGGCUUCCUGGACUGUAACUGACGCUCAGACGCGAAAGCUAGGGUAGCAAACG
This 400-nucleotide ribosomal RNA is filed under the name uncultured bacterium. Its description in RNAcentral is "bacterial SSU rRNA". It matches the Rfam family "Bacterial small subunit ribosomal RNA", at positions 358 to 774 of the family's 1533-position model. The record is from RNAcentral.